RNAcentral lists this long non-coding RNA (430 nucleotides) under Vulpes vulpes (red fox). RNAcentral's name for it is "lncRNA (ENSVVUG00000029232.1)". The record is from RNAcentral. Lineage: Eukaryota; Metazoa; Chordata; Mammalia; Carnivora; Canidae.
AAAAACAUCAGGGUUCUGAAGGAUCCAGGGUUUGUCCUGCUCCAGUAUGUUUUCAUCUCAACUAAUUAUAUCUUUCAUGAUCCUAUUUCCAGAUAAAGUCACAUUCAGAAACACUGGGGUUUAGGACUUCAACAGAGAAUCUGAGGAGCAAGGGUGGAUGAAGAGGGAAAAAGCCAGAAUCACAGACACAGCUGGGUCUCUCCUGGAACGAAUUCCCACAGACAAACUCUUCACCAGACCAUCAACUCAGAAGGGCAAAACGAGGAGCUUAUUGUGAAGAGUUUGGGCCAAACCACCCAGAGCUUCCUGUGCCAGGAUAAUAUUUGCAUUGAAGCAGCAAGAGUGACUAUGAACUCAAAGCAUGAAUUCUUCCUGAAAACUUGGUAUCAGCUACUUGACUUAUAAAGAUGGAAGCACAAAUGGAAUCUCC